Molecule: ribosomal RNA, 253 nt
Filed under: uncultured bacterium
Lineage: Bacteria
Description: partial 16S ribosomal RNA
Rfam family: Bacterial small subunit ribosomal RNA
Source: RNAcentral
UACAGAGGUCUCAAGCGUUGUUCGGAUUCAUUGGGCGUAAAGGGUGUGUAGGUGGCGCGCUAAGUCGGGUGUGAAAUUUCGGAGCUUAACUCCGAAACUGCAUUCGAUACUGCGGUGCUCGAGGACUGGAGAGGAGACUGGAAUUCAUGGUGUAGCAGUGAAAUGCGUAGAGAUCAUGAGGAAGACCAGUGGCGAAGGCGGGUCUCUGGACAGUUCCUGACACUGAGGCACGAAGGCCAGGGGAGCAAACGGG